This 601-nucleotide long non-coding RNA is filed under the name Panax ginseng (ginseng). Its description in RNAcentral is "long non-coding RNA (PGIN_LNC018186)". The record is from RNAcentral. Lineage: Eukaryota; Viridiplantae; Streptophyta; Magnoliopsida; Apiales; Araliaceae.
AAAUUAUAAAACAAAUUAUAAAAGCUUACAAACAAAAAAAGCUUCCCAAUAUUUGCAACGAACAGGUCUCUUAUGGUUCUAACUUCGAAAUUACAAAUGGAUGAAUCAAUUCGAGACUGCUGCCUUCACAUGUCUCAGGUCACUCUUCUUUCUCUCUCUAUUUAUUAGAAAGUAGCCAUGAAAUCAGAAAUACCCAAAUGCUUAAAUUGAUCUCUUGCUGAUUUGGUUUAUAAUUACUGUUUCAUUUUUGGCGAUAAUAAUAAUAAUAACAGGAGGAUGAUGGAAAAUAGAGCAUGGACUACUCAGUUUGCAGAACUCUAUUCGUAUCUGAAUUUGGAACUUCUAAGUUUGUGAUAAUAGGGUUUUGAUUUUUGAGAAUUUGUUAUUGUUAUUGAUUUAGGCUUUAGAUUUAUGGGUUCGAUCUGUGGUUGAAUUAUAAUUGAUCUCUUGAUGUCUUGAUGUUGAUGGUAGAAUUCAACGAAGGGUUGUUUAAUCGGGAUUGAAGAGGAAGAUGAAGGGGGUGGAUUUUGAUGAAGGAUAUUUUUUUCUUUUAAUUUAAUUGAUGUUAUGUAUUUAUUUAUUAUAAAUAUAUGCUUUAGAU